GUCUGUAUGUUUGUUAAUAUAAAGUCUAACCUGCCCACUGGAUUUUUGAAGGGCCGCGGUAUAUUGACCGUGCUAAGGUAGCAUAAUAAUUAGUCUUUUAAUUGUAGGCUGGAAUGAAUGGUUGGACAAGAAGUAAGCUGUCUUUUUUAUAAGUUUUGAACUUUACUUUUAAGUGAAAAGGCUUAAAUAAAUUUAAGGGACGAUAAGACCCUAUAAAACUUUACAGUUAAAAGGUACUCAAUAAUUGAUUUGUAGCUUGAUUAUUUUGUAGCUGUUUUGUUGGGGAGACAAUGAUAGAAGACAAAAAUAUCUGUUUGAUAAAUGAAAAUAAAGUUGUUUAGUGAAGCUGAUCCCUUAUUAAGGAUUAAAAUAGUAAGUUACUU
Molecule: ribosomal RNA, 383 nt
Filed under: Plesionika izumiae
Lineage: Eukaryota; Metazoa; Arthropoda; Malacostraca; Decapoda; Pandalidae
Description: partial 16S ribosomal RNA
Source: RNAcentral